Molecule: ribosomal RNA, 488 nt
Filed under: Salinicoccus sp. ET45
Lineage: Bacteria; Bacillati; Bacillota; Bacilli; Caryophanales; Staphylococcaceae
Description: bacterial SSU rRNA
Rfam family: Bacterial small subunit ribosomal RNA
Source: RNAcentral
GAGUUUGAUUCCUGGCUCAGGAUGAACGCUGGCGGCGUGCCUAAUACAUGCAAGUCGAGCGCGUCUUUCGGGGGCUUGCCCCCAGUAAAGACGAGCGGCGGACGGGUGAGUAACACGUGGGCAACCUGCCCAUCAGACCGGGAUAACCACGGGAAACCGUGGCUAAUACCGGAUAAUCCUUUGCCACGCAGGUGGCAAAGUUGAAAGGCGGCUUCGGCUGUCACUGAUGGAUGGGCCUGCGGCGCAUUAGCUGGUUGGUGGGGUAACGGCCCACCAAGGCGACGAUGCGUAGCCGACCUGAGAGGGUGAUCGGCCACACUGGGACUGAGACACGGCCCAGACUCCUACGGGAGGCAGCAGUAGGGAAUCUUCCGCAAUGGACGCAAGUCUGACGGAGCAACGCCGCGUGAGUGACGAAGGGUUUCGGCUUCGUAAAACUCUGUUGUUAAGGAAGAACGUCCCCGUGAGAACUGCACGGGGAGUGACGG